This 1710-nucleotide ribosomal RNA is filed under the name Campylobacter hyointestinalis subsp. lawsonii. RNAcentral's name for it is "bacterial LSU rRNA". It matches the Rfam family "Bacterial large subunit ribosomal RNA", at positions 1225 to 2925 of the family's 2925-position model. The record is from RNAcentral. Lineage: Bacteria; Pseudomonadati; Campylobacterota; Epsilonproteobacteria; Campylobacterales; Campylobacteraceae.
GUGGUAGGAGAGCGUUCUAUUCAGCGUUGAAGGUAUACCGGUAAGGAGUGCUGGAGCGGAUAGAAGUGAGCAUGCAGGCAUGAGUAGCGAUAAAAGGGGUGAGAAUCCCCUUCGCCGUAAACCCAAGGUUUCCUACGCGAUGCUCGUCAUCGUAGGGUUAGUCGGGUCCUAAGCAAAGUCCAAAAGGGGUAUGCGAUGGAAAAUCGGUUAAUAUUCCGAUACCAAUAUUAGUGUGCGAUGGAAGGACGCUUAAAGUUAGUGGAGCUAGCGGAUGGAAGUGCUAGUCUAAGGAUGUAGAUUAAGUGGUAGGCAAAUCCGCCACUUUUUAUUCGAGAUCUUAAAGGCUCUCCAAAGUCUUCGGAUAGCGGGGAGAAUCCAUGAUACUAUCGAGCCAAGAAAAGUUUCUAAGUUUAGCUAAUAUUGCCCGUACCGUAAACCGACACAGGUGGGUGAGAUGAGUAUUCUAAGGCGCGUGGAAGAACUCUCUUUAAGGAACUCUGCAAAAUAGCACCGUAUCUUCGGUAUAAGGUGUGCCUAACUUUGUAUUAAGAUUUACUCCCAAAGCAAAGAAGGUUACAACAAAGAGUCCCUCCCGACUGUUUACCAUAAACACAGCACUCUGCUAACUCGUAAGAGGAUGUAUAGGGUGUGACGCCUGCCCGGUGCUCGAAGGUUAAUUGAUGGGGUUAGCAUUAGCGAAGCUCUUGAUCGAAGCCCGAGUAAACGGCGGCCGUAACUAUAACGGUCCUAAGGUAGCGAAAUUCCUUGUCGGUUAAAUACCGACCUGCAUGAAUGGCGUAACGAGAUGGGAGCUGUCUCAAAGAGGGAUCCAGUGAAAUUGUAGUGGAGGUGAAAAUUCCUCCUACCCGCGGCAAGACGGAAAGACCCCGUGGACCUUUACUACAGCUUGACACUGCUAUUUGGAUAAAGAUGCGCAGGAUAGGUGGGAGGCUUUGAUCCAUAGACUCCGGUUUAUGGUGAGCCAUUGUUGAGAUACCACUCUUCUUUAUUUGAGUAGCUAACUAGCUUGAGUUAUCCUCAAGUAGGACAAUGUCUGGUGGGUAGUUUGACUGGGGCGGUCGCCUCCCAAAAUGUAACGGAGGCUUACAAAGGUUGGCUCAGAACGGUUGGAAAUCGUUCGUAGAGUAUAAAGGCAUAAGCCAGCUUAACUGCGAGACAUACACGUCAAGCAGAGACGAAAGUCGGUCUUAGUGAUCCGGUGGUUCUGUGUGGAAGGGCCAUCGCUCAAAGGAUAAAAGGUACCCCGGGGAUAACAGGCUGAUCUCCCCCAAGAGCUCACAUCGACGGGGAGGUUUGGCACCUCGAUGUCGGCUCAUCGCAUCCUGGGGCUGGAGCAGGUCCCAAGGGUAUGGCUGUUCGCCAUUUAAAGCGGUACGCGAGCUGGGUUCAGAACGUCGUGAGACAGUUCGGUCCCUAUCUGCCGUGGGCGUAAGAAGAUUGAGGAGAGUUGACCCUAGUACGAGAGGACCGGGUUGAACCAGCCACUGGUGUAUCAGUUGUUCUGCCAAGAGCAUCGCUGAGUAGCUAAGCUGGGAUGUGAUAAGAGCUGAAAGCAUCUAAGCUCGAAGCCAACUCCAAGAUGAAUCUUCUUUUAAGAGCUCGGAAAGACUAUCCGUUUGAUAGGCUGGGUGUGUAAGUGAUGAGAGUCAUUUAGCUGACCAGUACUAAUAGCUCGUUUGCUUAUCUUUA